GAGUUUGAUCAUGGCUCAGGAUGAACGCUGGCGGCGUGCUUAACACAUGCAAGUCGAACGAACCUUCGGGUUAGUGGCGGACGGGUGAGUAACGCGUGAGAAUCUGCCCUCAGGAGGGGGAUAACGGUUGGAAACGACCGCUAAUACCCCAUAUGCCGAUAGGUGAAAUGAAUUUCGCCUGAGGAUGAGCUCGCGUCUGAUUAGCUAGUUGGUGAGGUAAUGGCUCACCAAGGCUUCGAUCAGUAGCUGGUCUGAGAGGAUGAUCAGCCACACUGGGACUGAGACACGGCCCAGACUCCUACGGGAGGCAGCAGUGGGGAAUUUUCCGCAAUGGGCGAAAGCCUGACGGAGCAACGCCGCGUGAGGGAAGAAGGCCUCUGGGCUGUAAACCUCUUUUCUCAAGGAAGAAGAUAUGACGGUACUUGAGGAAUAAGCCACGGCUAAUUCCGUGCCAGCAGCCGCGGUAAUACGGGAGUGGCAAGCGUUAUCCGGAAUUAUUGGGCGUAAAGCGUCCGCAGGCGGCUUAUCAAGUCUGCUGUUAAAGCGUGGAGCUUAACUCCAUCAUGGCAGUGGAAACUGAUAGGCUUGAGUAUGGUAGGGGCAGAGGGAAUUCCCGGUGUAGCGGUGAAAUGCGUAGAUAUCGGGAAGAACACCAGUGGCGAAGGCGCUCUGCUGGGCCAUUACUGACGCUCAUGGACGAAAGCCAGGGGAGCGAAAGGGAUUAGAUACCCCUGUAGUCCUGGCCGUAAACGAUGAACACUAGGUGUCGGGGGAAUCGACCCCUUCGGUGUCGUAGCUAACGCGUUAAGUGUUCCGCCUGGGGAGUACGCACGCAAGUGUGAAACUCAAAGGAAUUGACGGGGGCCCGCACAAGCGGUGGAGUAUGUGGUUUAAUUCGAUGCAACGCGAAGAACCUUACCAGGGUUUGACAUCCUGCGAACCUCUUAGAAAUUUGAGGGUGCCUUCGGGAAUGCAGUGACAGGUGGUGCAUGGCUGUCGUCAGCUCGUGUCGUGAGAUGUUGGGUUAAGUCCCGCAACGAGCGCAACCCACGUUUUUAGUUGCCAGCAUUUAGUUGGGCACUCUAGAAAGACCGCCGGUGAUAAACCGGAGGAAGGUGUGGAUGACGUCAAGUCAUCAUGCCCCUUACACCCUGGGCUACACACGUACUACAAUGCUACGGACAAAGGGCAGCAAACUCGCGAGAGCUAGCAAAUCCCAUAAACCGUGGCUCAGUUCAGAUCGUAGGCUGCAACUCGCCUACGUGAAGUAGGAAUCGCUAGUAAUCGCAGGUCAGCAUACUGCGGUGAAUACGUUCCCGGGCCUUGUACACACCGCCCGUCACACCAUGGAAGUUGGCCAUGCCCGAAGUCGUUACUCCAACCCUUGUGGAGGAGGACGCCGAAGGUGGGGCUAAUGACUGGGGUGAAGUCAUAACAAGGUAGCCGUA
RNAcentral lists this ribosomal RNA (1448 nucleotides) under uncultured bacterium. Its description in RNAcentral is "bacterial SSU rRNA". It matches the Rfam family "Bacterial small subunit ribosomal RNA". The record is from RNAcentral.